Molecule: small nuclear RNA, 106 nt
Organism: Phyllostomus hastatus (greater spear-nosed bat)
Lineage: Eukaryota; Metazoa; Chordata; Mammalia; Chiroptera; Phyllostomidae
Source: RefSeq, a predicted model, not a curated record
GUGCUUGCUUUGGCAGCACAUGUACUAAAAUUGAGACAAUACAGAGAAGAUUAGUGUGGUCCCUGUGCAAGGAUGGCAUCUAAAUUUGUAGAAGGAAAAAGUUUAA